GGAGCGGGUCCGGCUGGCGCGAGGACACCGAUUCGAAAUCGGCUGGGGCUGAAAGGCCUUCGAGGGUUCGAGUCCCUCCCGCUCCGCCA
RNAcentral lists this transfer RNA (89 nucleotides) under Deinococcus soli (ex Cha et al. 2016). RNAcentral describes it as "tRNA-Ser". The record is from RNAcentral. Lineage: Bacteria; Thermotogati; Deinococcota; Deinococci; Deinococcales; Deinococcaceae.